AAUUAGCCUUUUAAUUGAAGGAGAGGAUGAAUGGUGAUAUUGACCAGCCCAUAAUUUUUUAAAUUGUGAAUUUUUAUUGUAGGUGAAAACGCCGACAUAGUCCACCCAGACAAAAAGACCCUAUGAAGCUUACAAUUUAAGUUGCAAAUUAUUUUAAGAAAUUGUUUUUUUGGGGAAAAUUUUAAUCAUUUUAUUCUUGUUCUAUUAGAUCCUAAGAAGAACUAUGAAAAAGCUCCUCUAGGGAUAACAGCGCCAUUUUAUUUAAGAGCCCACAUCAAAAAUAAAGA
Molecule: ribosomal RNA, 287 nt
Filed under: Subeucalanus flemingeri
Lineage: Eukaryota; Metazoa; Arthropoda; Copepoda; Calanoida; Eucalanidae
Description: partial 16S ribosomal RNA
Source: RNAcentral